UGCUAUGAUCAGAUCCCCGUCAGUGUGCCCGAUCUUGUCAGAUUUCAGAAGCAAAGCUCGGGGUUGAACCUGGUUCGUACUUGGAUGGGUGACUACCUCCAGGGCUUCGCCAGGUACUGUAGGUU
RNAcentral lists this ribosomal RNA (125 nucleotides) under Petromyzon marinus (sea lamprey). Lineage: Eukaryota; Metazoa; Chordata; Hyperoartia; Petromyzontiformes; Petromyzontidae. The record is from RNAcentral.